UACGUAGGGUGCGAGCGUUGUCCGGAAUUACUGGGCGUAAAGAGCUCGUAGGUGGUUUGUCGCGUUGUUCGUGAAAACUCACAGCUUAACUGUGGGCGUGCGGGCGAUACGGGGCAGACUGGAGUACUGCAGGGGAGACUGGAAUUCCUGGUGUAGCGGUGGAAUGCGCAGAUAUCAGGAGGAACACCGGUGGCGAAGGCGGGGUCUCUGGGGCAGUAACUGACGCUGAGGAGCGAAAAGCGUGGGGAGCGAACAGG
RNAcentral lists this ribosomal RNA (257 nucleotides) under uncultured bacterium. RNAcentral describes it as "partial 16S ribosomal RNA". It matches the Rfam family "Bacterial small subunit ribosomal RNA", at positions 524 to 776 of the family's 1533-position model. The record is from RNAcentral.